CCUACGGGUGGCAGCAGUAGGGAAUAUUGCUCAAUGGGGGAAACCCUGAUGCAGCAACGCCGCGUGAGCGAUGAAGGUUUUCGGGUUGUAAACUCCUUUUGUUAGAGAAGAUAAUGACGGUAUCUGACUAAUAAGCCCCGGCUAACUCCGUGCCAGCAGCCGCGGUAAUACGGAGGGUGCCAGCGUUACUCGGAUUUACUGGGCGUAAAGAGCGCGUAGGCGGGAAAGCAAGUCAGAUGUGAAAUCCUAUGGCUUAACCAUAGAACUGCAUUUGAAACUGUUAUGCUAGAGUAUGGGAGAGGCAGGUGGAAUUCCUGGUGUAGGGGUAAAAGACAUAGAGAUCAAGAGGAACACCAAUGGCGAAGGCGACCUGCUAGAACAUGACUGACGCUGAUGCGCGAAAGCGUGGGGAGCAAACAGGAUUAGAUACCCUGGUAGUC
RNAcentral lists this ribosomal RNA (440 nucleotides) under uncultured bacterium. RNAcentral describes it as "partial 16S ribosomal RNA". It matches the Rfam family "Bacterial small subunit ribosomal RNA", at positions 338 to 795 of the family's 1533-position model. The record is from RNAcentral.